Molecule: ribosomal RNA, 465 nt
Filed under: Vreelandella stevensii
Lineage: Bacteria; Pseudomonadati; Pseudomonadota; Gammaproteobacteria; Oceanospirillales; Halomonadaceae
Description: partial 16S ribosomal RNA
Rfam family: Bacterial small subunit ribosomal RNA
Source: RNAcentral
CCUACGGGGGGCUGCAGUGGGGAAUAUUGGACAAUGGGGGGAACCCUGAUCCAGCCAUGCCGCGUGUGUGAAGAAGGCCCUCGGGUUGUAAAGCACUUUCAGUGAGGAAGAACGCCUGGUGGUUAAUACCCAUCAGGAAAGACAUCACUCACAGAAGAAGCACCGGCUAACUCCGUGCCAGCAGCCGCGGUAAUACGGAGGGUGCGAGCGUUAAUCGGAAUUACUGGGCGUAAAGCGCGCGUAGGUGGCUUGAUAAGCCGGUUGUGAAAGCCCCGGGCUCAACCUGGGAACGGCAUCCGGAACUGUCAAGCUAGAGUGCAGGAGAGGAAGGUAGAAUUCCCGGUGUAGCGGUGAAAUGCGUAGAGAUCGGGAGGAAUACCAGUGGCGAAGGCGGCCUUCUGGACUGACACUGACACCGAGGUGCGAAAGCGUGGGUAGCAAACAGGAUUAGAUACCCUAGUAGUC